GGGCGGAUGGUUUAAUGGUAUAAUACUCCCUUAGCAAGGUUCAUUCACUGAGUUAUGAGUUAUUUGGGAGUGGUUCGGGGUUCGAUUCCCCGUUCGUCCA
This 100-nucleotide transfer RNA is filed under the name Metarhizium majus ARSEF 297. It matches the Rfam family "tRNA". Rfam says of the family: Transfer RNA (tRNA) molecules are approximately 80 nucleotides in length. Their secondary structure includes four short double-helical elements and three loops (D, anti-codon, and T loops). Further hydrogen bonds mediate the characteristic L-shaped molecular structure. tRNAs have two regions of fundamental functional importance: the anti-codon, which is responsible for specific mRNA codon recognition, and the 3' end, to which the tRNAs corresponding amino acid is attached (by aminoacyl-tRNA synthetases). tRNAs cope with the degeneracy of the genetic code in two manners: having more than one tRNA (with a specific anti-codon) for a particular amino acid; and 'wobble' base-pairing, i.e. permitting non-standard base-pairing at the 3rd anti-codon position. The record is from Rfam by way of RNAcentral. Lineage: Eukaryota; Fungi; Ascomycota; Sordariomycetes; Hypocreales; Clavicipitaceae.